Pan troglodytes (chimpanzee) is the source of this 39480-nucleotide long non-coding RNA. RefSeq lists it as uncharacterized. The record is from RefSeq and is a predicted model, not a curated record. Lineage: Eukaryota; Metazoa; Chordata; Mammalia; Primates; Hominidae. The transcript is spliced from 2 exons.
GGGACUGUGGUGAAGGACACCUGUCAUAUUGUAAGCCAUAUGGACUCUCAGGGAAGGUAGAGGUAACUUUCAAAGGAUUAGUGGAGUUAGGGUGGCAAAGGAGGGGGCAAGGGGCAUUCUCCCUACAGUAAGUGAUUUAUGCAAAGAUUGGAAGCAACAGAGCAUAUGGGAAUUGGGGAAACUGCAAAAGGCUCAGGAUGGUUUGAACCUUUGGUGGAAAGAAGAGGAGUAGCUGAAGACGAGGCUGGACAUGAACCGCCUGGUAUGCAAUGCUGUAGAGAUUGGGUUUCACCCUAAGGACACGGGCAUGUUUUAAACAGAGAAGUCAUCAGACUUGCAUUUUAGAAUUCUGGAUGAAGGUGUUACUCGUGGAAAAGAUUGAGGUGUAUCUGAUGUGAUUAAGGAGGUUGCAUCAAUGUGCAAGGGACAGGAGAGAGUUGUGGAGUCAAAUUCAGGCACCAGUCUGGAUGGUGGAAACAUUCACAGAAACAGAACUUUCAGGGAGGAGAUGGUUUGGGUGAAAGGGAAGAGGGUGAUGCGGUUUCCAUGUGUUCAGUUUCAGGCUCCAGUAGGGCAUCCAGGUGGAGAUACCUACCUGUGCAAUUUUGGUUGGAACGCAGAAGACAGAUCUAGGUCAGGGAGAGAGAUUUUGGGAGUUGGUGGCUUUUAGGCAUAUUUAAAGCCAUGGGAAUUUGAGGGUAGUUGGAUUUUUAUUACUUAUCAUGAAUUUCUAUUAACUCUGGUUCAAGGUUAUUGAAUUUGUAAUAGAGUUGAAUAAAUGGUAGCUAAAAUUAUGACAUUUUGAAAUGUAUUCAUCCCCACCCAUAUUCAUGAAAGAAACAUUUGUCUGGAAGAUAUAAAACGCCACUAUUCAGAAUGUAUUGUCCAAAGGAAUUGGCAAAGAGAUUUUUAGCCAAAAAUCAAACUUAGAACAUUCCCCAUUCUUUCCCUUUCAUAAUAGAGAAAAGUGAUUAAAGCUCUUUGGCUAAAAAUAGCAAACGAUUACGGUCCAGCUCACAUUGUAGGAACAGGAAGCCUUUGGUUCAUUGAACUCCACAAACAAUCCCCACACAUUGUAGCCACUGUAACUUUCUCCAUUGCUAACUCUUUAACAUACGAUUUUCCCUCUGAGAGUUGCUGGUCUUGCUAGUUGCUAUGGUCUGAAUGUUUGUGUCCCUUCCAAAUUCAUAUGUUGAAAUCCUGACCCCCAGGGUGAUGGUAUUAAGAGGUGGGGCCUUUGGGGAGGUUGAUUAGGUCAUGAGGGAAGUGCUCUUAUGAAUGAGAUUAGAGCCCUUACAAAAGAAGCACAGGGAAGCUCCUGGCCCUUUCCACCAUGUGAGGACACAGUGAGAAGGUGGCCAUCUGCAGGCAGACACCAGAACCCAACCAUGCUGGCACCCUGAUCUCUGAUUCCCCAGCCUUCAGAUCCAUGAGAAAUAUAUUUCUGUUGUUUAUAAGCCACCCGGUUUAAAGUAUUUUAUUAUAGUGGCCCAAACAGAUGAAGACUACUAUUCAACUUUUACAUAAAGAACAAAAUUAAAUUAGAGCAAGAAUUAUCAGAGAAUAUGGGAGCUGUGAGUCACAUUAGAGAUUCUUUUACCAACUGUGUCAUUUUUCUAGACAAGGCAGCUGAAGACCAGAGUGAUUCAGUGCUUUCCUCCAAGACCACACCCAGGCCCGCACAGAGUGGGGGUCGGAGUCCCGCAGCUCAACACCCCCCCACCCCGCCCCGCAUUCAGCCUCUUACCAGCCAGGACCCUGUGGAUGAUUUUUGCCAUUUAAAAGUCAUUUGCUCUUUCACAAUACUGAUAAAUAAAAGAUCAGAAUAACGUAUCUUAAUUGGUCAAAAUGUAGGGACAGAAAAUGAAAGGAGACAAAGGUGCAUUUCUUACACAGUUGACUUAGGCUAGCAUUUUCCACUGUAAUUGCAAAUAUACAAAGUGUGUCAUCUUUCUGGUUAUAUGUCCUUUACUUAAUUGCACUGAAAGCUACUUGGUUUCAUCAGAGGUUCCAAAUAUUGCCUCUGGUUUAAUAGCUGAAGGUUUUUUUUGUUUGUUUGUUUGGUUGGUUGGUUUUUUUUUUAGAAAGUGACUUUUAAAACCAUAUUAUAAGUGUUUUAUAAUAAUUGCCUUUCUCCUCUCAACCUAGCAAAAACAUAUAGAUAAAAGGACAAUCAAGUAGAGAUUCUGAGCUUUUGUUAAUUUUCUGUAAUGCUAUUGAACCAAAGCUCAAGGACAUUGAGACACCAUGGAUCAGUAGCAAUCAUGGAGGAGGCUCCCUGGUUCAGUAGCAGUGGUGGUCUAGACACGUGAGACGCCAUGGUUCAGCAGCAGUAGUAGGGGAGGCAGGAGACUGGACUGGCUGGCCAAGUGGCCUUCUGGGGCUCCUCAUCUCAGAUCCCUAUGUAUUCACUCCUGAAUAUGUCACAAGUAUUGGGCUAGAUUGUUUUUAAAGGUUCCUGGCAACUCUAACAGUUUAUUAUCCUACAGUCAAGACACACAUUUUCAUUUUAUCACAAUUUCUGAUUCUUCACACUUUUUCUUAUCCCAUAUGAUGUGUUGGUGAAUCCUGUCACUUUGUUUGGUCAGCAUUAAUGUACUAUUUAUUAUUUAUUUACUUGGUGCCAGCAACUGUCUUAGAUGUCUUUUUGCCUGUCAUUUUCUUCCAUUCAUUACAGCUGCCUCCUCUGAGCACUGAGAACCCCCAGAAUUCAGCGACUUCAAUUUGUUUGCCUCCCAGAGACUAAGCCAACCUUCCUAGUUUACACACAAAAUGCUCCCACUUAAGUACAUACUCUACCAUAUUCCUUCCUGAAAGUAUAAAUAUACUUUCUGAGUAGUCCAAAGUGUUAAUGUUUGAUUAUCUUGAUUUGGAAUUAAAAAAAUGAGAAGCAAGUUGAACAAAUCAUUUCACAUUUAAAAUCCACGUAUUUCCUGGAAAUGCACCAAAUUUUGAUCUAAAUAGGAAGUAAGGUAUUUUCAGAGAUAAAUACUUCAAAAUGGAGUUAAAUAGACUUGCUUUAUACUCAGAGAUUCAAAUAAGAAGAUGAUCUAAAGUUUGGUUACCUUAUUAUUUGUUUUUAAUUCCAUUUUCCUUUGAUUGCCUCAUUUAUAAAAUGGCAGCCAAAGACAUUUUGGACAGUGAGAGUAUGUGUCUGAUGUGCAUAUCACAGCUAUAAAGUGUGUACAUGUGAAGACUUCACACAUCCAUAUGCAUGUUAUCCAUGGCUCCGUCGAGCAGUCCUCCUCUUAAUUAUGCUUUAUAUAUGCUUUGUGCAGCCAGGCAUUGAUCUUUCAAGUACCGGUGUCUGGUUCAAAGACUUGUAAUUAGGCAGAAAGAUCUGGUAAAAUGGAUUCUAUGGAAUUAUUCAAAUGCUCUGUGUGUAUGAAAUUGUUCAUCUAGAAUUAUUUAUCUGGAAAAAAAGACACUUUCAAAUAUGCACAGAGCCUAUUUUUUUAAAAAUUGUAUUCCUUUCCAUUAUUUACUGAUAUUCCAUGCACUUCUUGGACAUUUGCAAAUUGCAGGGCUUUGUUUUUUGUUUUUUCUGUUUUGAUAUGAAGCUGCUUUGUUCUUUCCUGUGGGCCUGUUAAUUGGUGAGCUCUUUAUCCAUGAGAUCAAGAAUCAGGGGCUUUUUAUUAACUCAUUGUGAGCUCUAAGAUAUUCCCAUGGGCCUGGAGAAGAGAAGUUGCCUUUGAGACUUCAUGCUUCUCCUAUUCUUUUACAACACUGGUCACAGCCCAGAAGAUGUAAUCAACAAUGACAAGAAUUUAAUCCACAGUUUAGAAUUAGAAUCCCCUGAUACUGAAAAUUCUAUAAUGAGCCUUUUUGUCUUUUUUCCUUUAUUUUGUUAGCAUUUACAAUUCCUUUUACUUGUGCACGCUUUCUCCUCCAGGAUAAAAUCCUGUUAGGGAUUUUAAAAUAAAUAAUUGAAUUCUGUAUUCUAGUUCUAAAAGCCAUAAAAGGAACAAUGUUUAUUUUUCUGGAAGACAUUGUCAUGGUCUGUAGGUGGUGAUGUGAAAAUUCUUAGAAUUUUCUUUCUUGAAGAUGGAGAGACCAGUAAAUUCCUCUUUUCUCUUUCACACGUAAAUACACCAUCAUCACAUACCUUUCUAUAAAAGUAUGAAUUUCUCCGCUAAGUAGUCUGAGAAAUUAUCUCUAUACAAAGAGCUCCGUGGGGGAUUUGCAGGGUUUGGAAGUGAAGAAGAGAAUGAAAGGAGCCCCUGAACAGUUUCAGUGACUCUCAGGAAUUUCAAUUCUCCAUUGCUACAUGGCUUAUUAUUAUUAUUUUUACCAAAACAUAUGAUACCCCUUUCUAGGCCACUACUGUUGCUCCAUUUUAGCGUUUUCAGAGAAUGUUUUUUCUUCCUUCUGAUUAGCCUGUUUUUCUGCUCCUGCUGCCGCUGCUGCUGCUAUCCUGAUGUAAGUGCCUGUGAGUAAGCAGUGAGCUCCAGUGUACAGGGUUUAUUUUUUUUUUCUCCAUGAUUCUCAACAGCUUUUCUAUUAGAAUGAUUUUAUGCCUGGAUGGUUUGACUAUCUUUUUCUCAAAAAAAAAAUAAAUAAAACAAAGUGCAGGAAACCCAAAAUACCUUCCCAACAAUUAGAAUUUUGCUGGUUGUCAGUUUGCCCUCCAUCCUCCUACCUGAGUCACUAGAAGCAUCUGGGUCAGCCUGGGGAUGGUGGCAGGCACGUCUGGGGUCCUUUUGAUUGACAAGCACAUUGAACCCAAGUGAUCAGGACCAUGAGUGGCGAUUCACCACAUGUGUGUUUAGUUAUCAUCAUCAAGGCACCUAGCAAUUUUACUUCUGAACAUUGAAACUCAUCUUUACUCUUUCCCUCUGUAUUUUCCUUGCUUUCCCCACAUUUUUUCCUGAAGAAUAUGUUGGUUCCUUUUAAUGUUUGAUUUCAGGCUAGUUUGGGCACACAAAUUUUCCAUUUCCCAAGAUAUUCUCAAAGUGAAGAAGGCACUUCUUCUGAUAUACACACAGAAACAGGCUUAACAUGUAAGUGUAAAAAGAACACUCGACUAGCUGCUAAGCAACCUGCAUGACAGGAGAGAUUUUGUACUAUCUUGCUAUGUGACUUUAGGUAAGUCACUUUACUGGUCCUCAUUUUUGUCACAUGUAUGCCUUUCCCAACUAAAAAAUUCAAUUAUUUUUAUUUGUAUAAAUUUUCUCUUCUGAAACAAUAUUUAUGCAUGCAUAUCCACGUUGCCCUAGUUUUUUUAUAAUACCUUUAAGCAUCUUAAAACUAGAAUACUACUGAAUGGACAGAAAAACAAAUCUGUACACAGAGACAUUCAGAGUGACUUUAUUAAUCAGAAUCUGUGUAACAAAAUCAGCUCUUGCGGUACAUCAUUAUAGGUGGCACGACAAAUGCUAAAGAAUAUUUAUGUAAUUUAUUAAUUACAAUAUCUACUUGAUUCUCUAGAAUUUCCACGUUAAGUAAACAGAGAGGUUGCAAACUCUUCACAUCUUAUGUCCAACUGAUUUUUCAUUGUAGUUUUCUAGUUACAAAGCUGUUUUCAUUGUGAAAAAAUGUGUUAAUCAUAUAAUACAAUGAAUGUGACAAUUAAAACAAUAUAAAUGCAAAAAUCAUAUAGGUUUACAGAAAGAAUGAACUCAAGUGUAAAAGCAUUAGAUAGAAGAAAGAACAACACUUUCUAACAUUAGAAGCCACAGUCUACAACAAGGUUAUAGCAGUUAUGGAUAUCUAUGGACCAAAUAACACAGCAACUGCCUACAUAAAAUAGAAACCAAUGGAAUAAAAUGUAAACAAACACCAGAGUCAUCUAAUUAUGGAUCAAAAUCCAGUAUAAAAUAAAGGUAGUAUUUAAGACCAUGAGAUAGAGAUGGUCUUUUUAUAAUAAAUGGUGUUGGGACAACUGGAAAGCAAUUUUGAAAAAGGUAAAAUUAGAUCUGUUGCUCAUACCACACACAAAAAUAAACUCCAAGUGCAUCAGAGAUCUGAAAGUGAAAAGAAAUAACACUAUACACACGCUAGCAGAAAACAUGACCGAAUCCCUCUACAACUUGAACACAGAGAGACUUUCUACUCUUUAAAAAUCCCUAUACAACAAAGCAAAAGAUAAAUGUGGCUCCAUAAAAAUAAAACUUUUGCAAGUCAAAAGCAAAAAAUUGAAAACAAACAAAUACACAAACUAUCUACUCAAAAUGGUAAACACCAAAAGCAAAGAAGUUAAAAGACAAAUGACCACUGGGAGAAAAUAUUUUCAGUGUUCUUUUCCCAUAAAAGGCAUAUACCCCUAAGUUGUAAACAUCUUUUAAAAAUUAAAAGAAAAAAUGAACAAAAACUUUAUGAACGAAUGAGCAAAUAAAUGAAGCAAGAAUGCACAGAAAGACAACAUAUGAAAAGAUGUUCAAAUCUUCUUCUCAUUGUAAGAGAAAUGAAAUUGGAACAACACCAGUACUAUUUCUAAUUCAUUAGAUUGGCAAACUUAGAGGUUUGACGAUACAUUCUGUUGGAGAGGAUGUAAGGAAAUAGGAGCUCUCCUACACUGCUGGUGGGAAUAGCAAAUGGUACCAUUCCUAUGAAGGAGGAUUGGCAAUAUGUAACAAAAUUGUAUAUGCAUUUGGUUUCUAUCCUAGCAAUCCCACUUCUAAGAAUUUACUCUAAAGAUAAACCUCCAACAAUACAGUAUACGUGUGUGUGUGUGUGUGUGUGUGUGUGUGUGUGUAUCCGUAAGGUAUUCAUUGUUCAUUGAAGCAUUUGUUGUAAUUGCAAAAUGUUGGAAACUACUUGAAUGUCCAAGCAUAGAGACCGGUUGUAUAAAGCAUAGUAUUUAUACGCACUGUGUAUUAGGCAGCUGUAAAAAAUAUGAGGAAUUUUCACUUCUAUAAUAAAGUGAUUUCCAGGAUAUAUACUGAAGUGAAAAAAGCUAUGUGCAAGAGAGUAUAAGGAAGCUAUGUACUUUCUUAUAGGUAUGAAACAAGGAAAAAUUAGAAAACAUACUGAUCUCGUGCUAGAGGGUAGAAAAUGGUAUAAAAGACACAUUUGGGACAACUGAUAAAACUUGGAAUAUUAAUUGUAGAUUAGAUACAAUUAUUACAUUAAUGUUAAAUGUCCUGAAGUUGAUAACUGUACUGUGGCCAUGUAAGAUAAUAGCCCUAUUCUUGGAGGAUAGAGAGCUUGGUCUAUGUAAUUUAUUUUAAUAAAGGGGUAUGUAACCUACUUUCUAAUGCUCCAGGACAAACAUGAGAGAGAGCGAGAGAGAGAGUGAGUAAGCGUGAGAAAGAGAAAUGAAAGAGAGCACAGAUAAGGCAAUGGGUAAAAUGUUGAAACUAGGUGAAGCUGGUUGUCUUUGUCAGCUGAGGCUGCUAUAACAAAAUACCGUGAAUCAGGUGGCUUAUAAACUACAGAAAUUUAUUUCUCACAGUUCUGGAGGCUCGGAAGUCCAGGAUCAAGCCAUUGGCAGAUUCGGUGUCUGGUGAGGGCCUGCUUGCUGGUUCAUAGACGGUGCCUUCUCGCUCUGCCCUCACAUGGUAGAAGGGGCAUGGAAGCUCUCCGAAGUUUCUUUUAUAUGGGCAUCAGUCCCAUUCAUGAGAACUCCACUCUUAUGCCCUAAUCACCACCCAAAAGUUUCACCUCCUAAUAUCAUCCCCUUGGUGGUUAGGAUGUAAACAUAUGAAUUUUGGAGGGAUGCAAAGAUUCAGUCUGUAACAUUGGUGAGAAGCUAAGUGAAGACUCUUUGUUCUACUUUUGUAUGGAUUAUUUGUAUUGAUCUUUGCAUUUUUCAAAAGUUUGAAACUAUUUCCAAAUAAAAUAUCUUUAAAAAUGUGGAAAAAAUAGACUUCUCACAUGCCUCCAAAGGGGACUUACACAGGUGGUAAAAGAUGAUUCUUGUCACUUUGUUCAAAGGAAUAGUGUAAAACUUUCAGGCCAGUCCUAUGACCUCUGGGGUCAGUUCAAGGAUCUCUUCAGAAGCCUCUCCAGUGUCCCAGCCCAGUCCAGUGAGGCUGGGCACAUUUUAUUCAGAAGAUGUUAAGAAGAUUGUCUGGGAAUCAGUAUUAUUUCAUAGCUCUUUUUUGGAACUGCAGAGGCAGCUGUCUCUUCUUAAAGCCACCAAAACCAGUAGUGCCCAAGGUGCAAGCUCACAGUUAGAUGUGGAAUUGUGUCUUUUUGCCCUUUGAAUCUUUUCCCACAAGAUGAUGGUUUAUUUAUUUAUUUAUUCAUAUAUAUUUUUUAAUUUUUAUGAGUACAAGAUGAUGAUUGAUUUAGCAACUGAGAUAAUUGAUACUAUUCAUCUCAAAGUGUAGCAAACCUUAGUGAGAAAGAGAAAACUGGUUAUUGAAGGACUUAGCACAGAUUUCUGCUCACCUAUGUACUUAAAAAUGAUUUACUAAUCGAAAUGAUAUGAGAGGCAUUAAAGGCAUUACGGGUGAGAUUGUCAUCUCCUACUGGGUUUUUUUUUUUUCCACUUUCAAGUCAGAACGUGGGUGGAAGACAGCAUUCUUUGAGCACAUGGAAUUAAGGUAAGAAUUGGGCUAAACAUGAAUGGGGAUUAUGUUUAUUUUGUGAGAACUGAUCUCAAUCUUCUUUGGCUUUAUACUAAUGAUGGAAGUACUAGCUAAUAGUUAUUGAGUGUUCUGGGGACACAUUGUGUUAAACCCUUGUAUGGAUCAGCUAAUUUGAUCUGCGUUCAUUUUAGAGAUGAGGAAACAGGCACAGAGAUAUAAUUUACUCAGUUAAUGAGUGGUAAUUAUUCCAGAGCCUGAACUACUAAAGCAGAUUGACUCUGAGAUUAAGGGAAUUUAAUACAGAAUAAAAGAAUGAGUUUAGAAGACAUCCUCUCAAAGGCAAAUUUCCUUACAGCAAACACUGCAGAUUAUGGCUUUGUAACAGAAGGGACUGAAACAUUUAGGCCAGUGUUCUUAACUGCUUUAUAAUUGGCAGAUGGCACUUGGUGUGCUGUGAGUUGUUAAUAGGUUAAUAGGUAUUCUUUGGGGAAAUGAGUUUCCUAAUCAAGUAAAGUUGGGAAACAGGUCAUGUUCUCAGUACAUUUGAAAAAAAAUAACUUUAACAUUAUUGAACGUGGCAGGGAAAUUUUGUUUUUUUUCAUGUCCCUGGUUCUGUGAAUUUCUUUAUCAAUUGUUUUGCUAUCAGCAAAGCUUAUCAAUGUGACCUGCAAGAUUCCUCAAAAGAAUAUAUAAUGAGAAGAGAGCAAAACAACAGGAUUUGUAUUGGUAUUUGUAUUCUAGCAUUUUUGAUCACCAACUUGAGUCUUCUAUACUAGCUCAACUUCUGGCUGAUAAAUGGGAUGGUUUGGAUGGUGGAGAGGUUUUCAUUAGAAAGAUAACAGAUUCUUAGAUGUGAUUAGGAAAAGAAGAAAGCAUAAUUUUAUCUGAAGCUUUCCCAAAGUAUACAAGAAUGAGUGUAUUCCGUUUAGGAAUUUCUGUUAAAUUGCUUUCAUUAAACAAAAAUGAGAGAAGUAGCGGCUAAAGUAAUAAGCCAUAUCAAAUAAUUUCUUGGAAAUCUCUCUCUCUAUAUAUAGGGUAUAUAUUUAUAGCAUUAGGGUGUAUUUUCCAUUCCACCCCUCCCCAUCACCAGUGAUAGAUUUUCAUAACUUGUAGUAGCUGGAAACAGGACUGGGAAAAGCUAUGGCAAAUCUCCUGUAGGUCACUGCCCUGUUGUGCCUGUGGAAAGAAACCAGCUUUGUCGGGAGGGAGGGGAGUUGGCCAGGACGUCCUAAUAGGCCGUUUUCUGUCUUCUCUCCAUGAUUGUUCUCAAUCACUUGGCAAUCACGAUGCUAUUAGGAGCACCCUGACUGAAGACACUCAGGUGCUUAGCCUUGCCAUUAACAACAUUGACAGGAAGCUUUGAGGUUGCUGCACAGCUGAUGGGUCUUGAGAGUCUUGAAUUAGAAGUCGGCCUGUCCUUAUGACAUGCGGAAAUGCCCCGGCUCCUUUUGCAGAAGGAUGUUCAGGCAAUAAUUGGAACUGUAUAUAUGUGAAUGUCUAAAUUAUUUCAUCUCCUAUAUCUCUUCAUAUUCUACCAUUUAUUACAUGGAAGUGCAGUAAGUCAUGGAUGUUGUCUGUAUGGUAAUGGCUUGUAUUGAACCUUGAAGUUCACCAUGCCCUGGGAGACGGGAUUUACAGAGGGACGUGCAGAACCCCUUCCUUUCCUAGGCCGUGCCCUGCAGCCACCCUGCUUCCCUACCAUGCUGAGCCAGUGUUGGGCAAAACAGACAUUUCCAGGGUUUGUCACCCCAUUAUAGUCCUUUAGGCUUGUUAAAGUUCAUGAUCUGGUAGUGAUAUUGUUUGGCUCUGUGUCCCUGCCAAAAUCUCAUUUUGAAUUGUAAUCCCCCAUAUUGGAGGAGGGGCCUGGUACAAAGUAAUUGGAUCAUAAGGGCGGAUCUCCCACCCUCGCUGUUCUCGCGAUAGUGAGUGAGUUUUCAGGCGAUCUGGAUGUUUGUGUGUGGCUCCUCCCCCGCCCUUCUCUCUUUUCCUUCUGCUCUGGCCGCGUUAAGAUGUGGCUACUUCCCUUCGCGUUCUACCUCGAUUGAAAAUUUUCUGAGGCCUCCGUAGCCAUGCUUCCCGUACAGCUGUGGAACUGUAUUAUUAUGCCGCUACCUUCAAGAAGUAAUUUGCGUGCUGUUUAUUGGAGCUGUGAAUUUAAUCAUCUCAAUCCCACGCUAUUACAGGAUGACUAUAAGAAGAUGUAUUGACAUUUCUUUGGACACAUAAUUUUGCCUCCAUUGUGUGUUGUUUUGCCAGAAUACUGAAGGCAGUGUUUGUAUGAUGGCACAUCCAAAUAAAAAGCAGGUCCUCCUUUUGGGACAGUGAUCCAUUUAAGUUAUUUGUUUCAGUACAUAUCCUUAGAACUGAAGUUUUAAAAUAAGAAUAAUCCUGGAAAAGAUGUUUAAAGUACCACAAAGGAUAGGCUUGGAAAGGAAACAAAGAUUGAAGGCUUUUUUUUUUUUUUGCCCCUGGGCUGGAAUAGAGUGGAAUGUUAAACAUCCCAAUUCUCCCAACCAGCCUCUCCCAUGUUAUAUAUAUAUAUAUAUUACAUACACAUGCACACGUUUCAAAUUUCAGUCUUACAGUGUAUAUAAAUGUGUAUACUUAUGUUUUCUGCACAAGCCAGGACAUUGGUUAUUUCCUAAUCUAGUCUCCAGAAGAGAAAAAAGAAAAACAUACAGAAAGGAAUGUAUAAGUUACGGAGGAUAAAGAGAGGGGUUAUGAUAUGAUCAAAACAAUAACAGUUAAGAUCUUUUGAGAUGUUAUUAUUGUAACCAGUAAUCAGCUGCUCACCACUCAGAGACCAAAAACAUGAGAAGCAAGGCAUGGUGAAAGGAAAGGAAGGCAACUUUAUUGAUCAAAUGCUAGCAGAUGGGAGAUGGCCGGGCUUCUGCCUCAAAGAAGCCAUCUCUGCCUUUUGGGCUGAGUGAAGGGGUUUUGGCAGGAAAAGGUAUGGGAAAUAUAUGGUAGUGGUGCAGGAAGGCGCAGGUCUGCAUGUCUAGUUCCGAUGUUUAUCUUGAGUAAUUGCCUGUUGGGUUGGUGUCAUCCUGACUUGGGCCGUAGAGUGGUGAGCUAACUAUUCAUACUCCUUCUAAGUGGGAGGAUUCUGCCACUUGGUUUCUUUACCUGUUUCGUUUCAAAAUUGAUCUCUGGAAUUUCUAAGCAAGCACAUAAUCAGAUAAGCAAGCACUGUGCGCAGAAGUUCCUGGUGUGAAAGGGAGAAAUUAAGAGUUUCAAAGUAUGUUUCAAGGUUGAAAGCAAGAAAGGAGAAAAAUGUUUUCAAAUGCAUGUUGAGGCUGGAAUACUUGGCUUCAUUAUGAGCUUGUUAUUCUACAUAUUUUAUAUAAACUAGUGAUUGUAGUUUUGAAUAUUUUCAUAGCAGAGGGUGGAGUAAUUGACAUAGGGGCCUGAAAAAUGCAUCCAGAUGUCUAUCUGCAGGUUUCACAAACUCAGAGUUCACAAGGCUCAAACAAGGUAAUGCCUGGGAUGAAAAACCAUAAACUGAGCACAGAGACCUGUCUGGCCACCCCUGACUGUGGCUGACUGCCCACAGUUGGUACAGCUUCCAAGUUUUAAAGAGAAGCCAUUAAUCUGGAUAUUUAUAUGUGAAAUCUCUUGAUUUUGAAUUUCUGGGAAAUAAUUCAAAACCUUUUCCUUGACAUAUUAUGAAAAGCACACCACACACCCCCACCCACGAGCAGACCUCAUCCUGUGGGCCACCUGCCAGUUUAAGAGAACUACAAAGUCAGCCUGGAGCCUGUGAGAAAACCCGGAGGGGCAAACUGAGAUCCUUGGUGGUUUCAUUAGUGGUUUCCUCGGGAGAUCACCUGACCAUUUAAGAGCUCUGCCUGUCUAGGAUGGUGUUGGGGAAAAAGCAUCACAGUAAUCAAGACAGGUUUCCCUUCAGACAGUGCAGGGCAGUGUUUCUAGUUCUGUUUUCCUUGAGCCUAGUCAAACAUGCACAAAUCCAAAACUUGAGUGACUCUGCGCUACUAAAGCCCUGGAUCCUAGUUUUAUUUUUUGCCAAAGAAUAUUUGAAUAGCAACUGACUUAAUACACUAUAAAUAGUAUCAAUUUUUGGCCAAGCACAGUGGCUCACACCUGUAAUCCUAGCACCUUGGGAGGCCCAGGCAGGAAGACCAUUUGAGCCCAGGAGUUUGAGACCAGCCGGGCAACACAGUGAGACUUCAUUUCUACCAAAAAUAAAAACAAAAUUAGCCAGGCGUAGUGGCAUGUGCCUGUAGUCCCAGCUGCUUGGGAAGCUGAGGUGGGAAGAUUGCCUGAGCCCAGGAGGUCAAGGCUACAAUGAUCAGAGAUCUCACCACUGCACUCCAGCCUGGGCCACAGAGUGAGACCCUGUCUCAACACAAAAACAAAAAUAGUACCAAUUUUUUAGAUCAAUGGAAAGAGAUUUUUAGUACUGUCAUUCUUUUUUCUGGAAAAAGAGAAAAUGGGUGAUUUACUAAUCAAAUAGAUGCAAAGUCAUUUUUGAAUAGGCAGUUAUUUAUGUUAGUUUGUUAUUCACAUUAAUUAGAUACAUUAUUUUAAAUUAUUUAUACUUGUUAAUUUUAUUUGUAUUAUUUUAUUUUAUUUUAUUUUAUUUUUCCUAGAUGGAGGCUUGCUCUGUCACCCAGGCUGGAGUGCAGUGGCAUGAUAUCAGCUCACUGCAACCUCUGCCUCCCGGGUUCAAGCAAUUCUCCUGUCUCAGCCUCCCAAAUAGCUGGGACUAUAGGCACAUGCCACCACGCCCGGCCAAUUUUUGUAUUUUUAGUAGAGACAGAGUUUCACCAUGUUCGCCAGGCUGAUCUCUAACUCCUGAUCUCGUGAUCUGCCUGUCUCAGCCUCCCAAAGUGCUGGGAUUGCAGGCAUGAGCCACCACACCUGACCAUUUAUAUACUAUUUUAAAUUAUUUACAUUAUCCAUUAUUAUAUUAAAAUAUUUACAUUUAUUACAUUAUGACUUGCUUCAUUUUUAAACUAUUCCUUUGUCAUGCAACGCUGCCUCUUUAAAAUAAGUAAGCUACCCAGAGAUAUGCAUCAGGAACAAUAGGAUGGUUCUCUACUGCUCAAAUAUCUGGGGGUGAGAGCUACACAUGAGUAUUUUGAAAAAGAUUCCUAUGUGAUAUAAAAGUGCCUUUCUGAAGAUAACACUAGGCCAGAUGAGCUUUAGGCUGUGUUUGAAUUGAUUUCCCACUACAUUUCUUUCUUAAACCUAAAUUUCACUACAAGUUACCUACGCAUAGGAUUCCAAUGUGAACAGCUGCUUCAUUUCAGCUAAAACAGAACCUCCUUUCAGUGAAGACAUGUGCCUCCACUCCCUGUCUGUGGCACGAUGGGCUGACAUUUUUGGAUCACAGAUCACACAGGCCUAACCUUGCCAUACUAUUCCUUCACCUUUCUGGAAUUCAGCUCUUGCUUCAGAAUAUAUUAUCAGAUGUACAAAUGAAAGCAGGAAAAACUAGGCCAUUCUUAAAAUGCUCCUUUUUCCCUAAAUACCUAGUUGAAUUUUUUAAAUAAAAGAAAUAGAAAUAUAUAAAUAAGUAAACAAGAUCAAAUGAAUUGCAUAAUGUACCAUGUGACCCUCCCUGUCUAUAUGGGAAUUUUAGCAUCAAGGCUAAACAUACACACGAAGCUUCAUUAACUUCUGACCAAUCCUCUCUCUUGUUGUUUCCUAGUUAACUGCCAAAGCAGUUGGCAUUACUAGGAGAAACCUGACAUGACCUGAAUAUACAGGCUGGGAUUCAAAAUUGACUGUGUUAAGUGUGCUGUUUAAUUUUUGAAACAAGAGACUUUUUCUUCAGGUAUACAUUCAAGUAUUCACCAUGGAAUGGCGCCUCUGGUAUUGUGUCUCAGAUACUUCUUGAAAGGCAAGUUAAUCAUGGGUUGGGUCAAAGUCCUGGUUUUACAGUAAGACAUAUGGACAUUAGAUCUACUAGAGGUAAAGAGAUGAAACCUUAGUUUUCAAACCAGGGGUUUGAGAAACCCAAGAAGGAGCUCCCCAGAGGAAACAUUUUUCUUUGCUGGGAGUCUCCAGACUGUGCCAAGUUCCUGAAGCCGUUGACAUACAGUGACCCUUGAACAAGCCACCCCCUCCCAGGAUUCUUUGUUGCCCUGGGGGGUCUUUGAUAAACAAAGACAAAAGUCUUUGAUGAGAUAAUCAUUUAAAAUUUUCUUGAAUUUCACAUUUGCUUGCCGAGGGUCUAGGGGUUUUACUGAAUUGAGCAAUUACUUCAGCAUUUAACAUGUUGGUUUUAUUAGUACUAGCAUAUUCUGAACUGUUGAAGUGUAUCUGUUUUCAAAAUAUGUUGCAUGCGGAUUAACAUAAAAAGGCAAACAGACACGGUGCUUUCCUGUGAAUGCUGGUUUUGAAUGACGAGUGUGUUUGCUGUCCAUGAUGAAGUGCGUAUGUGUUGUUGGCAGGUAUCCCAUGCGCCAUUUCCAAGGGUAGGAACAGUAAGAGGCUUCUGAUCACAACCCCACAGAAGGGAAAGUGGUUGAGUAAGAACCUUGAAUAUAUGGAAAAACAGGUUGAGUGUGGUCUGAACCUGAGGGUAGUGUGUUACCAUGAAACACAAUUCUUCUUCGGGUGUGUGUGCAUGGGGCCCUCCUUCUCUGCUCUUUUCUUUCACAUUUUCAAAGCUCAUCAUGCUGCCAUUUCUUUGAAGAGGUUUAGUAAGAACCUUGAAUAUAUGGAAAAACAUAUUUCUUAUUAGGCACUUCAAAACUAGGUCCCACCCAUGUCUAUUUCCCCUCUGCGUGUUUAUAUAAGAAAUAAAUAAAAAGUUUCAUGAUUUCUAGUUUGCAACCCAUAUUCAACAUGCAAAGACUGACAAUAUUGUUGAAAUAUCUAAAACCUAAGAAAUUAUUUUAGUCAGUGACCAUGGCCUGUUUGUGUCAUGAAUAUCCUUUUAAAAAAAUAUGAGUUUUAUAUGUGCAAAAAUGUAAUAACAACAAAAUUGUGGUAGUAUUAUGAAACAGUUGCAGGCUGGUUUUGUCUGGCCUAAGUGGUCUUUUGCCCUGAGCAUGUUCACUAGUGUGUGUGUGUGUGUGUGUGUGUGUGUGUGUGUGUGUGUUUGUGUUGUGUGUGUUUGUGUCUGUGCUUUUUUUCCUUUACAUGCAGUGGACGUUGCCUGCUAUGGGCCUCUGAGUCGCUUUGGGUGUUUGAUUGUUGAAUUGAAAUGAUUCUUUCCCUUGUACUGCAGAAAUAACCAAUAAUAAUCUUCGCGUGACCUGCAUGUUUUAAGAAAAUUAUCCUGGGGCUAUCCUGGUAGGAUGUACGUACCAUGCAGUUUCUGUGAUAUAUAAAAUUAUUAUCAGAUGAAAACAAAAAAUCAUAUCAGGAAAACAUUUCAUUCCUUAUUUUAGAGCUAGAAUGGACUUUGACUUUUCUUCAUGCUUAUUUAUCUGAGAAAGCAUUAGGUAGACUCUGAAGGAGGCAUUUGCCUUUCUCCAUGGGCUGAAGGGGGCAGUACUCUAUCCAGUUAAGAACUAACGAAGUUGGACAGUUGGACAUUGGAAUGUAACAGAGGCUUCCCGAAGAUUAAGAUAAUGAAGUUUCUCCUUGAUCACCUCUGCAGGGUUUUCUAAAGGACAAAUGAGCAACUAAAAAUGAUUUUCCCUCUUGAGGAAGGAAUUAACUUCUUAUUUAUUAUUUUCCUAAAGAAAAAUUAGAAGUAGAAAAAUAAUAAAUGAUUAAUUUUACUUGUUGUACAUAGAGGCUAUCACUGUGUGGUGCUCUCUUUAUAUGUGAAAGUGUAUUUGAAAUAAAUCUUAAAAUGUGGAGGUACAAGAAGGUGAUUGUUCUCUAAAUUGCUGUAUUACUGUAAAACUAAAUUUGAAGGGAAUUUUUAAAGAACACCAUAUAUUCCAUUAUUUUGACAACCCAUCAAUUUAUGAAAGUAAUCUGAGCACAUACUUCAAUUUAUUAGAGAUAAUUGUUCUGGGAAUGCUAACACCCAAGCUCAAUAAGAUCAAUAAUAAAUUUGUACCUGAAUUUGGGGUUAUGGUUUAACUUUAAUCCAGUCCAUUUACUCCUCAACUAGGCCGGGCGCAGUGGCUCACGCUUGUAAUCCCAGCACUUUGGGAGGCUGAGGCAGCCGGAUUACAAGGUCAGAAAAUCAAGACCAUCCUGGCUAACAUGGUGAAACCCCGUCUCUGCUAAAAAUACAAAAAAUCAGCCAGGCGCGAGGGCGCCUGUAGUCCCAGCUACUCAGGGAGCUGAGGCAGGAGAAUGGCGUGAACCCGGAAGGCGGAGCUUGCAGUGAGCCGAGAUCGUGCCACUGCACUCCAGCCUGGGCGACAGAGCGAGACUCUGUCUCAAAAAAAAAAAAAAAAAGUUGUAACUACUCCUCAACUAUUCACAUACUGUAGAUUGUUUGUAUUAAAUAUAUUAAAUAGGAAAUUUAUCUUCUAAAGUUCAAUCAUUUUAUUUGAAGCAAAUGCAUAUAAUUUUAACUGAUACUGUCUGCUUUUUCAUCUCUUGAAUGUUUUAACACAAUAUUUUAUGUAUUUUUAUCAGAUGACAAUUGUUAUCUCUUUAAUUAAUCCAGUUAACCCAUCCUGCAAUUAAUUCACAAUAGGCAUUUUAGUUGUUACUCAAAGUCCCCACUUAGUAAAUGUUAAUUCAUAAGUAAUAUUCAUAACUGAAUGCUGGAGAAAAACUGCCCAAAGAUUUGGGACUUAAUAGAGUCUGUCUACAGCAUUCUUAACUGGCGUGGUUUAUUAUAAGGUGAAAUUUAUAAAAAGGGAGUUCACAGCCCUUGAAAUGGCUUUCUGGGUGGGUUUCAUGUUUAGUGUUUAUUAAAUGCUCACUGUAUAUCAAGAAAGCAGAGAGGCUUAAUACCCUGCUCAGAGUCACGUAACUAAUGUAUGGAAUAGUCAAACUCAAAACCCAAGUCCAGUGCCUUUUCAGCUGUACAGCACUGACUGCAAAAAUGGUUAGAUCAAGUGAACAUUUAAUAUUCUUUCAAUCUUAGUUUCUAAAUAGAGCUGUCUGCCUAUUUACUAGCUGUGUGACCUUAGGUAAGUUACUUAACCUCUCUGAGUCUUAGACAUCACAUCUGUAAAAAGAAGAUAAUAUUAUUAUGGUAAUUAAAUGAACUAAUAUUUGUGAAGAAAUGAGAAUAGUUCCUGAGACAUAGUAAAUGCUAAAUACAUACUUAUCUAAGUAAAAUAAAUAUAACUAUUUCUCAAGUAAACUUUUUAUACAAGGAUAAAAGUGUAACAAAUGAUAAGCAGAAAAUUACUCUUGAGCUAAAGAAAGGAAAGUAGAAUUGCUUAUACUGAAAGAGAAAUGAUUUUUAUAUAGCUCACAGGAUUCUGUGGGAAAUUAUAUCGGUGAAAACAAAUGACCUAGUUUCUUCAACCAAAAAAACUACAAGGGAGAAACAGGGAGGGAAAAGGGGAAGGCUGUGGAUUAAAAGAAACCCAGGCUGGGCGCGGUGGCUCAUGCCUGUAAUCCUAGCACUUUGGGAGGCCAAGGCGGGUGGAUCACCUGAGGUCAGGAGUUUGAGACCAGCCUGGCCAACAUGGUGAAAACCUGUCUCUACUAAGAAUACAAAAUUUAGCUGGGUGUGGUGGCACGUGCCUGUAAUCCCUGCUACUUGGGAAGCUGAGGCAGGAGAAUCACUUGAACCUGGAAGGCAGAGGUUGCAGUGAGCUGAGAUCGCACCACUGCACUCCAGCCUGGGCAACAGAGUAAGACUCUGUCUCACAAUCAAUCAAUCAAUCAAUCGAUCAGUAAAAGAGACCCAGCAAUCACCAGGUGUGAGGCUUACUUGGAUCCUACCCUAACUAAACUGUAACAAGAACAAUUAUAAGAUGGUAGAGAAGUAGAGACGUCAAUUGUAUAUUUGAUAAUAUCAAGCAGUUGCCAUUAAAAUUUUUAAGUGUGAUAAUAGUAUUCUUGUGAUUUUUAAAAACAAAAUUCCUCUAUUUUAGAGCUAUAUACACAAAUAUUUACAAAUGAAAUUACACCUAGAAUUUGAUCAAAAUAACUGUGUGUGCCUGUGUGUGUGUGAGUGUGACUAUAGAUGAAAUAAGAUUGUUCAUGAGUGUCAAAAUUGAAGCUGGGAGAUGGGUAUGUGAAGAUUCAGUCUGCCAUUCUUUCUAUAAUACUUUUCUAUAUGUUUGAAAAUUUCCAUAGUUAAAAAGAAUUUAAUGGAAAAAAAUGUCUUUACUGGAAAAACUAUUCUCAGAGUUCUUAAUAAUGAUGUCUGAUAUUUACAGAGUGCUUUAGAUGAAUUGUCUCAAUCUUUACAACAACUUGAUGAGGUAGGUCCGAUUAUUAUACCCAUUUAACAGAUGAUAAUAUGGGCCCAAUCUUUGCUCUUCAGCAGUCUGUUUUCCAGAGGGGAUAGAUGUCUGCAUCAGACAAAUCUGCUCCUGAGAACUGCUGUCCAUCCAGAGUGGGUAAACCAGGAGAGUGCCAUUCUCACAAACAGUGUUUUCACAAAGUGCACACUGUCCAGGUGCAUUACAUGUUAAUUACACCCAUCUUGUGUCUCACUAGUGAUUUAGGAGAGUAGGCCAGGCAUUGUGAAAAGCUCCUGUACUAGCUGUGUGCCUCUGGGAAGGUUUCUUUCUUUCUUUUUUUUUUUUUUUUUGAAACAGGAUUUCCCUCUAUCACCCCGGCUGGACUAUGGUGAUGGGAACAAGGCUUACCGCAGCCUCCACCUCACAGGCUCAUUACAGGCAUGCACCACCAUGCCCGGCUAAUUUUGGUAUUUUUAAUAGAGACGGGGUUUCACUAUCUUGGCCAGGCUGGUCUCGAACUCCUGGCCUCAAGUCAUCUGCGCUCCUCGGCCUCCCAGGGUGCUGGGAUUACAGGCGUGAGCCACCAUAUCCAGCCAGCAAGUUACUUUCUUUAUCUGAGCUUCAAUUCGCCUGUAAAAAUUGCUAUUUCCAUCCCUAUUUCACUGGAUGGUUGUGAGGAUGAGUAGUUUGAAGACAGAGACCCUUGAAGGGAUCAGAUGAAGAAGCUCACUCCUCUGGAUCCUCAGUGCUGGGCACAGAAUGAAUGUUUAGAACUGUGUCUUUCGUGACUACCUCCCUCCCUUCCUCCUCUUUUGAGUGGAGUGAAAAAUUUGAAGCUGUUUCCUGGGCUGCUCAGACUCCCUGAGGCCUUGGUGUCCUAUAUAAUUCAGGGAUGGCUGUGAAUGAGUACAACAGUGUAGGUGAGGUGACCUGGGACUUCCUUGCUCCUCUGUUGUGUGUUGAUUGCACACACUCAUGCUAGAUUAUUUCUAAGGCCUUAGUGGUUCAAGUUUACAGAUUUUAUGGUACUUACUUUCCACUUCACUUUCAUGUACUUUGUCAAGGAGAAUAAUCUAUAGACUAGAAAUGCCAAAAUAAUUAGAGUUAAAGUGGAAAUCCAAGAUGAGAAAGCAGUGUGAGAGAGCAUACAAAUUUAGUUAAAUGACGUCAAAGGAUACUGAAAAGGCUUACAGAUAUGUCUUCAUAGCCAGUCCGAUGUCUUCAAGAAACUAUCAUGGAAGGUCUCAGAAGACAUUUAAGGAACCAAAAGUGGGCAAAGGUGGAUUUCAAAAACUAUGGGUUGGUACUUAAUAUGCACAGUGGUAGCCUGGAAUACAAGGACUAGUAUGUUUUACUAAACAUCUCGAACGUAAAGCAGGGGUCACUAGGCGGCAGCCUGGAUUUGCCAAAAAUAAGGCAUCCAAAAGUAGGCUCAUUUUCUUUAUGAUGGAGUUGAGACUAGGUCAUGGGCUGUAACACAUGUGACUCUAUCAGGAUUUCAGGGGUUUAAGUAACACACCCCCUCAAUCUACCCGUGAGGACCAUGUUCAGUAACAGUCACAGGCUGUUAAAUAUCAUGUCAAAAGAAAUGCCUGCUCUUCUCCUCUGGGUACCAGUGUUUUAGAGGGAUGCUGACACUAAAGGUAAUGUCAAGUUUGGAAAUUAGGAAGUAGUUGAAUGGGUCAGGGACGUUUGCUGGAAGAAAAGAAUCCCUGUGGGACAUGUGAGCACUGUGUCACAACAUUUGAAUAUGAGGAAAAAGAGGUGUUUCCUUAUCUAUGUUUUUUGGGAAGUGCUACCGCAGGGAUUGCUAGAACAGUGAAAAACAUGGCUGGAAGUUCUGUGAGGCUGAAGUGAGUGGUCUAGGCCCUGAGGGACUGGCCCUGCAAAUGGAGGGGCAGGAUGUUGUUCAGGGCAUGAAGGCAACAAGGUUGCUGCUGAAUUAAAUGGGGAUGGUGAAGAUGGGGGCAAACACUGUUUUGACUUCACUCAAUUGGAUAUGAUCUCUUCUAAAUUUUGACUUAUACCAUUCUUGUAGUAAUUUUGCCAUGCCAUGAUUUUUUAAAACCUGUCUUUUUGUUUUUUGAGACAGGGUCUCUAUCACUGAGGCUGGAGCACAGUGGCACAAUCUCAGUUCACUGCAACCUCUGCCUCCCUGGCUCAAGCAAUCUUUCCACCUCAGCCUCCCGUGUAGCUGGGACUACAGGCACGCGCUACCACGCCCGGCUAAUUUUUUUUUUGUAUUUUUAGUAGAGACUGGGUUUCACCAUGUUCCCUAGGCCGAUAAACCUGUUUUAUUAUCUUUAUUUAUCAGCCAUUUGAAGGUAGAAACUCCGUUCUAUUCCUUCUUGAAUUCUUAUAGCUGCUGCGUUGGUUGUCUUUAGUAUUUUCCAUUAAUUUUAAUACCAUUUUCUGUCAUUUUCAAAUAGCUAUUAAGUUUCCAAAAGUAAUUGUUUUUUUCUGAGAAGACAAAAAUCAAAGGAAUCAUGCUUGGAUUUUGGAAAAUAUAUCUCUCCCUACAUGUUGGUGGGAACAAUUCUGGCCCUUCUGACUUAGUCACAAUAGACAAGUUGUUCUUUAUAUCUAGAGGGCAAAACCUCACUCAUCAAGCCAAAGUUUCUCACCAACUCAGUUGAAUACAACAUGUAAUUACUUAAGAGUAUUAUAUUUUCACCUUGGUAAGUGUUCAGAAAUUGCGGAUUUAUCCCAAUUAUCAAGUCUGGUUGGGAAGAGCCUUUGAAAUGGAGUCCACCAUGUAAUGGGGGAAAAGAUGUCCCUUACUCAAGGAGACCAGUCUCUUGGUAUGUGUGUGGUGGAAGGGACAGACUGUGGCACAUUCAUCGUUCAGGAGCACAGGUCAUUUGGAUUAGAAUCAGAUUCUACCACUAACCAGUUAUCUGACCUUGGGCAAGUUACUUAAACUCUGUGCCUUAGUCUCCUCACCUGUGCCAAGGAGAUAGUAAUAAUGCCCACCGCAUAUGGUGGUUGUAAUGUUUGAAUGACUUCUUGUAUAUACAUACUUAGAGCAGUACAUGGGUGGUAAGUACUACAUAAGUGAUUUUUAUCAUCAUUAUUAUGCAUAAGGCCAAUCCAGUGGAGAAAAUUUACUUGGAAAAAGAAUAAAGAAAGACUAAUUGUUCUCCUUCACCUCUUUGGUUCCUCUUCUGGUUUGACAGUGGGGCCACAGUUUCACUUGGAGAGAAAAAAGGGAUGUAUGAAAAAGAGAGAGAAGAGGAGAAAGAAAGGAAGGGAAAAAUGACAGCUGAUAUUAUGCUGCUGUUCAUUUCUACCAGGAAAUGAAGUCCAUUGCAUUGAUGGACAGUAAUUCCCUAAAAAAGCAAAUUCUGGAGUUAAUGCAAACAGCCAUUGGGUCAUUAUUAUAAAUUUCACUUCUGAAGCAUUCAGCCAGUGAUAGAACCAACCCUAUAUAUGGGUUGAACCAACCCGAAUGACCCCCAUAAUCAGUAGUUUGAUCUGGCAGUACAAUUAAGUCAAUGGAUGCCUACUAAGGUACUCUCCAUUUAUUGACUCUUGUUGAUUUAAAGGCUAAGGGCCUUCUCUCUAAGUUGCAUUUUGGUUAAUGACAUUUAAUGAUAUUUUCAUGCUAAUAACCUCAACUUGCUGACAUCUUCAGAUGUAUUUCUUUGGCUUCUAUAUUAUAACUUUCUUUGGCUACCCAAGUUUUUGAUAGGAAAUAUUGUCUGUUACUGAAUAUUUUUUUGUUUUGUUUUGUUUUUUUGAGACACAGUCUUGAUUUGUUGCCCAGGCUGGAGUACAGUGGUGUGAUCUUGGCUCACUGCAACCACCACCUCCUGGUUUCAAGCGAUUCUCCUGCCUCAGCCUCCCAAGUAGCUGGGAUUACAGGUGCCUACCACUACACCUGGCUAAUUUUUGUAUUUUUAGUAGAGAUGCGGUUUCACCAUGUUGGCAAAGCUGGUCUUGAACUCCUGACCUCGUGGUCCACCCACCUUGGCCUCCCAGAGUGCUGGGAUUACAGGUGUGAGCCGCUGUGCCCAACCUGUUAGUAAUAAUUUGUUGGGAGAGAAACCAUCCUAUAAAUGUGUGGAGGACUCUUGCUGGGGAUGAUGUCAUAUUAUAAGUUUUCAGUAAAUAUAGGUUGAAUGAAUAAAGGAGUACGAAUCAUUUCAAGCAGUUUAUACCAAACCAUUUGUUGGAAUAUGACCGGGUUAGAGUGUAUGAUAGAUGUGAAUGGCAAAGAAGCCAGAGGAACCUUGAGUUGUAUUCAGAGGAUAUAUUGACUCUGAAGAUAAAGGAUAGAAGAGUUAAGAGGGCAUCUUGGUAUUCAUUUGGCAAGAUUAAUGUGAAGAAAAUUGUAACCUCCAAAAAGAGAAAAGUGAUUUAUUCCGUUCUAUUACUAAAGUAGUGUGUAUAUGCGCACGUGAGUGUAGUUCUAGAUGUAUAUAUACAUAAAAAGCAAUGAAAUUAGAUUUUUCUUAAAUAAAACCCGCUUAUUUUCAUCACUGUACAAAUUGUUGUCAUUCAGACUUUUGAUAAAUUAUUUUCUUUCCUCUUUCUUAUUCCUUAUCUGCUGAAUGCGUAUCACACCCCUCAUGAGCCAGAAACUGGUUUAUUAUAUGAUAUAAAAUAUAUCAAGGUUAUUGGCACAUAUGGGAGCUUUCCUGUAGGAGACAUAGAAUUAUGUGUUUUACAGAACUUCUAGAAAACACAGUCUCUACCUGCUUAGAAUUUACAUUUGAACAUAUUGAGAGGUAGGUAUUGUCUUAAGCAAAACCAUCGCUUGAUUCUAAAUGUCAACAUGCAUAAAUAGCAUAUGAAAUCUGCUUUAAAUCACAGAUGAGGUCAUUGAAAAUGUGCAUCUUUUUAGAUGAAUGCAAAUACAGGACAAAAUUUCCUGAAAAUAAUGUAUUUCACUUAGUUGGCUCCAUAUUCCCAAUCUGGGUUAUUAUGUUAUCAAUUUAUCCUAGUAACUCUCUUUUUCAAUUAAUUAUUUAAUGUGUGUUUUUGUGUCUAUACGUAUUCAUCUAUUUUUGUUCCAGUGCCACAUGUCUCCUGACUUUUCUUCCUCAGAGUAAAAAUGCAAGGAUCCGUUGCUUCUUUCUCUUCCCCUCCUGUGACCUCUCUCCCUUGCACACAUUGCUUUAGACCAGGCUUCUCACAGUUUGAUGAGGCUCAGGAUAAUGGGAGAAGGAAGGCAGCUGUUCAAACACAGAUGACUGGGCCCGGCACAGUGGCUAACGCCUGUAAUCCCAGCACUUUGGGAGGCCAAGGCGGUGGAUCACUAGAGGCCAGGAGUUUGAGACUACCCUGGCCAACCUGGUGAAACCCCAUCUACUAAACAUACAAAAUUUAGCCAGGCGUGGUGGCGCAUGCAUGUAGUCCCAGCUACUUGGGAGGCUGAGGCAAGAGAAUAGCUUGAACCUGGGAGGCAAAGGUUGCAGUGAGCUGAGAUCGGGCCACUGCACUCCAGCCUGGUGACAUUGCAAGACUCCAUCUCAAAAUGAACAAACAAACAAACAAAACACUAUGGAUGGCUGGACUCCACACCCAGCCCUAGAUUAUGACAAAGUAGAUCUGAGAAGUUGCAUUGCUGACAGAGUUCUGGGUGCUGCUGCUGCUGGGCAGAUGACCACAUCAUGGCUCCAACGACACAUCUCCUUUCUGCUCCUGGAACACACCAGACUUGUCCCAUCUCAGGGCCUUUGCACUGGCCAUUUCUUCUUCUUGGAAAGCUCUCUUGUCGAGACCCUUCAGGUGUUUUCUUAAAUGUUAUUUUCUCAUGAGGGCUUCUUUGGUUGCUGAAGUUAGAAUUGCAACUCCCCCUUGCUCUACAAUACUUCCCACCCUCUUUCCUUGCUCUUUUUUUUUUUUUUGCCAUUUAUCUUUCACCCGUUUAACAUGUUAUAUAGUUUACUUAUGUGUAGUGUUUUUUUUCCCCCAUCUGUCCCCCUAGUAAAACGUAAGCAACGGAAGUGUAGGGAUUGUCUAUAUUUGGUUGCUUUCUUGUUGUAUCCUCAGCACCUUGAACAGUUCCUGGUACAUAGUAAGCCUCAGCAAGCACUUGUUGAAGGAGUGAAUGACAGAUUCACUAAGAGUUUACAACAGGGAUCCAAAAGAAUUAUUGCAACCACAAAACAGGGUUCAGUCAGUGAUGGUUAUAAUUAAUGCAUGUCGAAGGCUCGUAGCUCUCUAGGGGUUUGGAGAAAAUGUUUACUUUUUGGGAAUUUAUAUCCUGAAAGACAUGAAAUUAUUAACCCCCGUAAAAAAAUGGAUCCAACCAGAUGACACUAAUCACACGAUUGAGGCCUGUUCUUGUACUAGGUGCAAAAGAGUUGAGUUUCUGCUGGUGAGACGCUAACUCUCUUCUUCUUAGGACCUUUCUUUAUUCUUUUUUUGGAUUAAAGAAUAAUACUUUUGGAAAUAUUCAUUUUUUUUCAGAAGAGAUCUGAACUGACUUACAGGAAAUACAAACGUAUAUAAUAAAUAGAAGAUGGUACAUAAAUAAUUAUAUGAAAAUCUGGUAAUAUGAUAGUAAUAACUAGUAAUAGAAACUCUCAUUAUAUAUUAAAUAUCAAUUGAUUAUAUCUCAUUGUAGCAUUCUAUCAGAACCUUGAAAACAGUUACAUCCCUGGCUCCAUGCUUUUAAUUCUUUGAUAAAAUUGAAUAUAAUAUAUUUGUAGAGCAGAGAAUCUUUGUGUACAUGUGUAUGUCAGUAUUAUUCCUCAUUAUCUCUAUGGUAAAAUGGAAGAUAUAAGCAUCUUGUUCUUGAAGUCUGAAUUUAUAAUCUUGAUAUGUCCCUCUGACAAGUGCAAAAUCUUACUCAUGUCACCUCUGCCUUUAAAAAUAAACUGUUGUCUUUAUCAAAAACAACAGAGAAACACCAGGCCUCACAUAAUGCAAUCGUGUUUCAUUGUGAUACCAGUUCUCAGUCUUCCUUAGGUAUUUUUCUAACUCUUGAAGUUUAAACCCAAUAAUAGGAAUUUUUGUUCAUGUUUUAUAUAUUUAUGAAUUUUUCAAUAUACAUACUGUCACAAUGGAAAUUUUUGGAAAGCAGAAAGAACUGUUAAUUAUUCCAUCAUCAUUUGCAGUAAUCUCUCACAAACCCUUUUCUGGAAUUGAUAGAGAUAUUUUUCAAGGUUUGCAAGUAAUAAUUAUAGUAUUGAAAAAAUGACAGUUUGUGUGUACUCACUGUGAGCUGUGUACUUUUACUGGAAACAUGCAAAUUAGGGCUCAUGGAAGGCUGCAUAAUAGCCUCUAAUUAUGUCAUAUUUCCCUGAAAUUGUAUUAUAUUUACAUAUUCUGGAACUGAGGAUGACACCAUAGAGGGUCCUCUCAUGGCACACUUAUGGAAUCUGACCUCCUGGUGGCUCAGUUAAGGCAGGAAUGAACACAGAAAGCUAUGCUAACUAGAGACUUCAGCACUCUGCACUUAAGCAUUUCCGAAAAGAAAUAUGUUAGAAGCAAUUUGAAGCAUGUUGGAAUUUGUUUGGAAUCCAGAUUUCUGCUUUUAGAGCUACUUACUGUAUACUUAAGGAGUUCUCAUACAAUUGGAAGCAAUUUGUGGGUGACUGCAUUUAUUUUUGCCUUAUUGCCCUAGAGCAGUAAACUGUCAGACUACAACAGAAUUGGAAUGUGAUGCUUGUUUCAUAUGAUUUUACAAGGAGUAUGACCGAUUUCACUUUGACAAAGAAACAUAACAGUCAAUGCAUUUGCUUAAAUAUUAACACUGUUAUCAGUAUUGAUUCUGACAUUCAGAAAGCCAAUGCUGCUUUCCUUUGCUGCAGCCAUGAUUUAAAUAUGCAUUCACUGGGAAGUGCAGAGUUCAUGGGAGGCAGGCCCUGUCUAGGAGUAGAGGAAUUUGUUGGACUUUUAUACAGUGCUUAUCACGUCACAGGCAUACAUUGAAUGGGAAAACACCACACACACAGACGCCCCUACUCAUAGUUGUAACUGCUUUGCUAUCAUUAGUACAAUAUUUUCAUUUUAUUUCACUUCAUUCUCAUUAGUACAACAUUAACAUUUGUGGGUACAUAGUAGGAGUACAUAUUUUAUGGGGUACAUGAGAUGUUUUGAUACAGGCAUGCAAUGUAAAAUAAGCAUAUCAUGGAGAAUUGGAUAGGUAUCCGUCCCCUCAAGUAUUUAUCCUUUGAGUUACAAACAAUCCAGUUACACUCUUUAAGUCAUUUUAAAGUGUACAAUUAAGUUAUGAUUGACUAAAGUCACCCUGUUGUGCUAUCAAAUAACAGGUCCUAUUCAUUCUACUUUUUUGGUACCUGUGAACCAUCCCCACCUUCCCCCCAGCCCCUCACCACCCUUCCCAGCUUCUGUAACCAUCUUUCUACUCUCUAUGUCCAUGAGUUCAACAGUUUUAAUUUCUAGAUCCCACAAAUAAGUGAGAACAUAUUUGUCUUUUUGUGCCUGGCUUAUUUCACUUAAUAUUGUGAUCUCCAGUUCCAUCCAUGUUGUUGCAAAUGACAGCAUCUAUUUCUUUUUAUGGCUGAAUAGUACUCCAUUGUGUAUAUGUACCACAUUUUCUUUAUUCAUCUGCUGAUGGACACUCAGGAUGCUUCCUGAUCUUAGGUAUUGUAAACAGUGCUUCAACAAACAUGAAAAUAUAGAUGUCUCUCCGAUAUACUGAUUUCUUUUCUUUUGGGUAUAUACCCAGCAGUGGGAUUACUGGGUCAUAUGGUAGCUCAGUAUUCAGGUUUCUGAGGAAACUCCAAAGUAUUUUCCAUAGUGGCUGUACUCAUUUAUAUUCCCACCAACAGUGUACGAGGGUUCCCUUUCCUCCACAUCCUCACCAGCAUUUAUUAUUGCUUGUCUUUUGAAUAUAAGCCAUUUUAACUGGGGUGAGCUGAUACCUCAUUGUAGUUUUGAUUUGCAUUUCUCAUUGAUGACUAAUGAUGUUGAUCACUUUUUAUGUGCCUGUUUGCCAUUUGUAUGUCUUUUUUUUUUUUUUUUUGAGAAAUGUCUACUCAAAUCUUUUACCCAUUUUUGGAUCAGAUUAUUAGAUUUUUUCCUAUAGAGUUUUUUGAGCUCCUUAUGUAUUCUGGUUAUUAAUCCCUUGUCAGAUGGGUAGUUUGAAAAUAUUUUCUCCCAUUCUGUGGGUUAUCUACUCACUUUCUGGAUUGUAUCCUUUGCUGUGCAGAAGCUUUUGAACUUGAUAGGAUCUUAUUUGUCCAUUUUUGCUUUGGUUGCCUGUGCUUGUGGAGUAUUCCUCAAGAAAUCUUUGACCAGACCAAUGUCCUGGAGAUUUUCCCCGAUGUUUUCUUGUAUUAGUUUCAUAGUGUGAAGUCUUAGAUUUAAGUCUUUAAUCUAUUUUGAUUGAUUUUUGUAUAUGGCAAGAGAUAGGGGUCUAGUUUCAUUCUUCUGCAUAUGGAUAUCCAGUUUUCCCAGCACCAUUUAUUGACGAGACAGUCUUUUCCAUGGUAUAUGUCCUGGACACCUUUAUAAAAAAUGAGUUUACUGUCAGUGUAUGGAUUUGUUUCUGGGUUCUCUAUUCUGUUCCAUUGGUCUAUGUGUCUAUUUUUAUGCCAGUACCAUGCUGUUUUGAUUACUAUAGCUCUGUAGUAUAAUUUGAAGUCAGGUACUGUGAUUCUCUCAGUUUUAUUCUUUUCGCUUAGGAUAACUUUGGCUAUCCUGGGUCUUUUGUGGUUCCACAUAAAUUUUAGGAUUUUUUUUUCUAUUUCUGAAGAAUGUCAUUGGUAUUUUGAUAGGGAUUACAUUGAAUCUAUAGAUUGCUUUGGGUAGUAUGGACAUUUUAACAAUAUUGAUUCUUCCAAUUCAUGAACAUGGAAUAUUUUUUAUUUUUUGGUGUUCUCUUCAAUUUCUUUCACCGGUGUUUUAUGGUUUUCAUUAUAGAGAUCUUCCACUUCUUAGGCUAAGUUAAUUUCUAGGUAUUUAAUUUUAUGUGUGGCUAUAGUAAAUGGUAUUACUUUUUAAUUUCUUUUUUAGUACAGUAUUUUUAGUGUUCAAGAAUAUAGUUGAGUACAAAAGCAAUCUUCAGCAUAAAAGCUGAAGUUGUCAUAUAUGGCAGCCACUGUCAAUGGUACUCAUAUUGAUGUGUCUCUUUUUUUCUAGAAAGUGGGAAAAUGUAAAACUGCUUGUCUAGUGCAUUUUCUGUAUAGAUAUGAAAGUCAAACCAUUAUCUUCUAACUGUGCAAUUCAACUAUAUCAUCCUCACUUCCUCCAUUAUGGAAAAGGCCUGCUUGGGUCAGUGGUAUUUAAGCCAAGGCUUUCCCACUACUAAUACUAAUUUCAUGCAGUUCCAGAUUUGGGGAAUAUAACUUAACCUAGACGAGUUGAAGAUCAUUGUAGCAACUCUUACUGAAUGCAGGCUGUAUACAGAACAUCUCAUUUUGCCAGGGACCAUGGAGAGCCAUAAGAGGAAAUACAGUGCUUCUUCAGAGUUCAUAAUUAAACUGUAAAAAGGGGGCUAAUAUAAAUAAAGACUUUUAAUUAUAGAAUAUAUGUUAAGUUACUGACUUCUAAAAUAACAUUGAACACAAAUGAAUGCUUUUCAUUUCAAAGUAGACUCCUUGCACAGACAAUAUAAACUUAUAACAAGGCCAUUUCUCAAGAGCAUUUUAGAACCUAUAUUACGUUUUUUAGUAUUCUCAAAGGAGGAUAAUGCAUGUCAUUUGCCAGAAUUUUGGAAAGAAUCAAAAACCAUUUGUAGGCAUGUCUGAUGAGUGAGAUCUACAAUCAGAAAGCUGAACGUCAAGUUUGAAAAAAACAAAAACCGUGUUUGCAGUCAAAGAGUUGCUGUAAUAAAGAAGACCACCAUUAGUCUUAGUCAGCAUAUUUGUGUCAUAUAAGAUUCCUUGAGUAUUUGACAUAUACCAAAACUGAUUUGGGCUAUUAAUACAAUACGCAGCAUACACAGAAAUCAAGAUUUGCUACUUCAACAAAACCAGAUAGCAAAAAAAGAAAUCUUGGUGUUCAAAUCAAAUUAUAAUUUGAUUUGGAUCCUGGGGAUGUUGGAGUUUUCUAGUAAAUACAUUAAGCAUUUUGCAUCUAGAUUAUGUUACAGGAAAUUUUAAAAACGUUUAAAAAGUGGUUUUUAAGGUACUUUUUUUGGAAGACUAAAGAAAAUGACCCAUCUGAAUGUUUUCUUUUGUUACCUAAAAUGCACAGCAUAAUUUUUGUAGAAAUUUUUCUUGCAACAUAGUUACUUUCAGAACAAAUCAAAUUAGUUUUAAUUUUACCAUUUAGGAGUCAUUUGAUUUUGAGCUUAGAUUCCUUAUCUGUAAAUAGAGAAGGCGAGACUGAAUUGACAUUAAUGUCCUUAUCAACCCUGCGCUCGCGCAGUUAUUUGUUCCUUCCUUUAGUGUAAGUCUGUAGCCACCAUUUGUGUCUUAAUUAAAUGAUCUAAAUCUUUAAUGUUUUCACCAUUUUUAUGAAUGAAUCUCAUAGUCUACUAUAGACUAUCAGACUGAUCUGAUAGUCGUGUCGUGUAGCAACAUAAACAUCUUCCACAACCUUUAAAAAGUUUGUUGGCAUUAAAAUUGUGGCUUUCAGCAUCCUUUCAUUCCCAGAGGCUUAUUUUAGCAUGUCAAGUGGAUGUGUUGAAGAUUUAUCACAUAGAACUCCACAUUAAUUUUUUACUUUAAGUGAUCACCCAUUUUUGUUCCGACAUAAAGCAAUAUUCACUGCAGCUGUUAGCAUAUGACAGUUGACUGGCUGAGCUUGGAAAUACUGCUGCUGCUCGUUGAAACAUGCUGCCAUAGAUUCUUGCUGCAAUGUGAUUGCUCUUCUGUCUUCACAAGUUAUUCAAGAAGAAAAUUAGUCUCAUUUCUUUACGGAGACACUUUGCAUAAACAUGCAGUCAUCAUUGAUCUACAAAUCAUAUAAAGUUAAAUGUAAUCAAUUAUAGUUAUAUAUAAGUAUUCAGGGUGCUACUAUAGGGGUGUCUUUGCUGCCAAUGGCUGAGAGGGGUUGACAACAUCAUUUCAGAGACCCUCAUUCAUUUGCAGCUGGGAUUCCUUGAUCUAAGAAUGGACUGACAUGUUUUUAUGAGUAUAAAUACUCACAGAUGUCCUCAUUCUUUCUGAGCAGUUUGGAUGCCAUUUUGAGACCAGUUAGAACCCCUUCCCACUCUGUUUGGUUAAGAGACAGAAUUAUGUCACAUAUAAACCAACACUGGUUUAAUCCAAAAGUCAUUUAUACAUUUGGCAUCAGUUCUGGUACUUCAGUUUUCUGCUAGUGUUUGUAUCAUAGCAAUAGAUUCCCUUUAAGAGUCAUAGGUGUCUGUGGAUGUGUUUAAGGAAGCAAUGUUUAAAUGCACUGAGAGGAACUGUGCUCACUUAGAAGAAAUGAGUCAUCAAAGUUGGGAAUUUUUUAAUCCUUGGAAAUUUUAAGGGAUUUUAUUUUUCUAUUUACUAAUUAAGGAUAUUUUGGAAACUUAAUUUUUUUGGUCAAAUAAAAUAGAUAAAUGGUAUUUCCCCUUUCCAAUCUUAACAUCGGUUCUACCUAAGAGAGUGACUUCUUUAACUUGUUUAACACUAACCUUUAAAAAAAUCAGUAAACAAAGCAGCAUUGCAAGCCUAGUGAGUUUUUCAUUCAACCGAAUGAAAUCAUAUGUAAAUUAUUGGUUUAGACAGUGUUUGCUUCUAUGAUUUGUUGUUUAGGAAAAGUUGUAUGCACCACAGCACAGCCACAGCCUGGGUUGUGCCUACUUUGAGAAACCUUACUGGGUGACAGAAUGGGGUAACAGAGCCAUAAUUUAUAGUCACUAAUAUGAAGAUGUGAUAUCAAUUACUUAGGAAAAAAUACCCCACUGGAUUUAUAUCCUUUAGUUAUUAAAAAGUGGCAGCUAUCUUAAAUUAGCUAAAGAAACUAAAGAAUUUAGCGACAGAAAUUAAUCACUGUCAUGAUCCAUACACAGACUCUGAGUUGCAGCACUCUGCAAAACAUUUGUUUGGAAAAGGAAAAUUGCUAUUAUGGUCACCUUAAUAGAAACAGACAAUCAAACAAAUCUUAAUUUAAAAGAUUGCAUGUGGUCAUAAAUCAUAAUGGCACAGAGAUUUAAGGCACAAAAAGCAACUUCAUAAAGAAAUGAGGCAUGCCAGGGAGAGCCAGCAACCAUGGCUGGUGCCGUCCUGUCUGCCCAUCCUAUCAGUGAUGUUGCAAAUGUUUUGAUAUUUCAGCACUGAGCUGGAUUGUUCAUUUUGCAGUAAAAUGCAACAGUCUCCUAAUCUGUUUUCUUGCCACUGGCUUUCUAAUCUUCUUUAACCAAUUCUCUACCUAGCAAGUGGAAGAAGGAGAGCCUUAAAAUGGAAAUCGAGUCAGGGCAUACGUUCCCCCCAGUCAAAAUCAUCAGCAUCUUUUACUUGCAGUUGGGAUUAAAUCCAACUCCAUGAAGUGAUCUGACCUCACUUCCUGGGCUCCAGCACACUGGCCUGCUUCGGUUCCUUCCCUCCUCCUGUUGGGGGUACUCUGAAAGAAGUACUUUGGGCUACUCUGAAAGAAGGGUACUCUGUAAGAAUGGGGGGUACUCUAAAAGAAGGUCAUCUUAAUGUUUACUCUGCAUUGGAUGUAAUCCAUUAUUUCUAAUACUUUUAGUUUCACUUGAGCUGAGUCACAAAAACCAAAAAACAAAACCUAAACAAACAAGAAAACCUCCUUAAGAGAGGAAUGGGGUAGGAGCUAAGCCAAUGGAAUUAAAAUCACUUAGUAACUGCGGUAGGCAAUGCAUAUUGCUAAUUGUCAUAUUAGCCGUAUGUUGUGUUCUGUUUACAUAUGGUGAAAUGUAUGUACACCUUAACUGAUAUUUUGUGGAAGAGCACAAAUGUUUGCAUGCCUCUGAGUGAUAGAUGCCCCAUUAUGGAGUGUUACUUGGUAGUUGCAACAUCCUCUUGGAAGGCAGAAGAAAUCAACAUAAGCUAAAUUUUCCUCAUUACUGUAUUGCUUCACCAUCUGUCUGCCUAGCUUUCUCAGGCGUCUUUAAAUAGGCUUCAGACUGGCCAGUGUCACCAAGCAUCCAAGCUUUACAGAUGGGGCCUAGAUGCUGGGCCAACUGAACUACAGCUGUGUCUAGUACAGGCCAGGACACACUCCUUUUGGCCAAUAACUCUUGUUUGGUUUUGAUAAUGAUCUGAUAGCAUUAAUAUCUCAGAAGAAGAAUUCGUUGUCCUUAGUGGUAGGGUAAGAUAUAUAUGUAUAUAUCUAAUAUGUAUAACUUAUACAUAUAUUAUUUUUAUAUAUUUAUUAUAUAUACAUACACAUAAUAAUUUUUAGCUAAAAAUAAAAACUGCCAACUUCAGAAUAAACAAUUAUUUCUUAAAGUCUAGGUUCCCAAGGCAGGAGUAGUGGGAAAAUUAUCUGCAGUCAAUGAAGUGAAGUCAUCAUUUGGCAGCAUGAUUUCAAAAUGGAGUAAUCAGUGUAUCCUAUAUGAAUUAAGUCUAAGCCUUCUGUGUGGUCUUUCUUUAAGACCAAAGCACAAAUAGAGUUUGGAAAAAAUAGACUCAAAUGCAAUUUCAUUUUUUUACAAUAUUAUACAGAAUAUGUAAAUUCUUAAAGCACAUGCUUCCUGAAUUAAGUACAACCUCAUGAAAAUUCCAUAUCUACACUCUUCCCUAUGAAUUCAUUGUGUAAAAUUGAGCUCAGAAUUGAAGAAAAUAAAUAGGACUGUGUCUAAUCUUUCUGCAUGGCUCAAUUAUAAAUGACACAGUGCAGCUUUUUCAGGUAAACAUACGGAAUUAUAAAAAGGAUCUAGUGUGGAGCUACAUAGAUGAAUGGAUCAUUUUUUAUAUCCUAGGCCAGAAAGUAAUGACUCAGAUGUAGCUUAUCUUUGCUUCAUAACCAAUGAGCAUGUUGAUGAAAAUGGUGCCUCAUUUAAAUGACAGGUCUCCCUUCUACCACCAUCUGCCGAGCCGCAAUGGACAAUUGAGGUAUAUGUUUGGAUGUCUCCUAACAAUAGUUUUGUAUGAAAGCACAGCAUAACUAAAAUUGCCAUGACCAUCCAAAAGCUUAUGUUUGAUUAUUUUUUUGACGGUCAUGGAAAAUGACCCAUUAUUUGGUAAGGUAGUAACUUUUAAAAACUGUAGAUAAAAGGAAGUAACAAAUUCAGCAAACCAACUUGAGCCAGAGCUAUGGGUUUUGGCUUACUAGAUUGUAAAACUAACUAGCUGCCAUUUUAAGCACUUUAUAAGUUACUUGCUAUAGUUUCUCCUUUUUGAGUCAUCUCAAAGAAUUGCCAGUCGGAACACAAUCAAAGAGGGAUGUUCAUUUUUAUGAUAUUGAGAACACUGAUGUUGAAUUUAAGUGAUUAUUUUUCACUCUUUACAAGAUCACAUGAAUGUAGGUAAAUAAGACAGUGUAGGCAACCGUGUCAGUAUCUAGAAGUGAUCUGAGGAGGUUUGGCUUUGCCUAAACGUCUAGAUUCAAUUUGCUUAAAUUUCUGUAUUAAUCUACCUCCUUCAUGAUUUCUAGUCUUCAUUGACCUCUUCUCAAUUAGAAUUUGUAGAAACAAAAUUUUUAAAAAUAGGUACAGAUACAUUUACCUUUCUGUUUUCAGGAAUGAGGAAGAGACAAUUUGACAAAUAAAUUACUUCGAAUUCAAAUAAAGCACAACAAAAACAUUCAUCCUACCUGCAGGAAAUAAUGUAAAAUACAUUUAAAACCCCUUUAAAAUUCUUUUAGCAGUUUUCAUACAUGUAAAAUACAUUUAAAACUUCUUUAGCAUUUUAUUCUAUUUAUAAAUAACUUCCUAACAAUUCUCUAAUUAAAAUCCUUUAGAGCUUUUACUUUGUAUCUUUGUGGGGAAGUAAACUUCAUUAAAAAAUAAUUUUUGACUCAAACUUUUAACUUAAUUUCAACUUUAAUAUUCUUAAUUUCCACAAAUCUGAAUGAUAAUAUAUACCCUACAAGGCCUACAAGCUACUAUUGAACGUUUUGUUAAAUUUUUUCAAUGUUGUGAACUUGCUUAUUGGAAAUGAAUGGUAAUUGUCAUUAUUCUGUUUCGUUGUGAAAUCCAGAAGUUAGGAUUUUAUGGCCCAAAUAUGGCAUUACUAGAGAAAUUUAAAUAAAAGAGAUUAAGGUAUAUAAAACAAGAUAUGGGCUUUGAUAGGACAAAGAAAUAUAAUUUUUGUAACUUUUUCAGUACUGUAUAGAAUUCUCUCUAAAAAAAUCACCUGAAGUUAAUUAUAAUGUUAAUUAAUAUAUAAUAAAGGUUAUAUUUCAAAACUUAUAUGCUAACUUUAGAACUUUAUUUCUCUCCAUAGAAUAAUUUUUACAAAUGUGCUGGAUUCUAAAAGAUUAUUUAUAUCAGAUCAGUAAUGGGUUAAAAAGUAAGCUUUUGUAGAAUGCCUGGUAAUAAAACAACUUUUUUUUAUUUUUUAUUUUUUUGAGACGGAGUCUCACUCUGUAGCCCAGGCUGGAGUGCAGUGGCAAGUUCUCGGCUCACUGCAAUCUCUGCCUCCAGGUUCAAGUGAUUCUCCUGUCUCAGCCUCCCGUGUAGCUGGGAUUACAGGCACUCACCACCAUGCCUAGUUAAUUUUUGUAUUUUUUGUAGAGAUGGGGUUUCACCAUAUUGGUCAGGCUGGUCUUGAACUCCUGACCUCAGUUGAUCCACCAGCCUCAGCCUUCCAAAGUCCUGGAAUUACAUAUGUGAGCCACCACGCCUGGCCUUUUUUUACAUUUUUAAUAGGAAAUUCCUUUUACAGUAUGAAUUUUGGAUGCCAGAAGUAUAUUUGUCCAUCUUAACUGUAGCUACAAUAUAAUAUUCAGCUUUUAUCCCACUAAGAACUCAUGGGUUCUAUGAUAAUGUACUUUUAGUCCCAUUUUUGAUUAUGUCAAAUGAAUAACAGUGGCAAAAGCAAUUAUUUUAUUUAUUUUUUGGAGACACGGUCUCACUCUGUCACCCAAGCUGGAGUACAGUGGCGCAACCUCAGCUCCCUGCAACCUCUGUCUUCAAGUGAUUCUCAUGCCUCAGCCUCCUGAGCAGCUGGGAUUAAAGGUGUGUGCCACCACAUCCAGCUAAUUUUUGUAUUUUUAGUAGAGACGGGGUGUCACCAUGUUGGCCAGGCUGGUCUCGAACCCCUGACCUCAGGUGAUCCACCUGCCUCAGCCUCCCAAAGUGCUGGGAUUACAGGCAUGAGCCACCGUGCCUGGCCCAAAACCAAUUACUGUACUCUUUUAUGUUGUCAUGUCUUCUUUAAUAUGAUUUCCUUAAUUAAUUGCUGCUAGUAAAAAGUAAAUUUAAAAAAAUUACAAAUCUAUAAACUCGUAAAAGUAGUGGAACUUUAGAGAUCAUUGUGUGACUCAACAAAUUUAAUACAUGAUAUCCCUGAGCCUCAGUGAUAUUAAAUGCCUUGCCUGAAAUAGUAGCAGAACCCGAAGUAGAGCUUAGGUCUCCUUAUUUCCGGUUUAGUACUUUCACUCUACUCCCAUAUCAGUCAAAAUAUUUAUUUAAUAGUUCAUGUAAAAUAGUGAAGUUGUAGGUGAUGUGAUGGGUACAGUAAAAUAUAAGCUCUUUGCUGUGUUCAGGGAGUUUGUAGCUGAGCAGUUUUUUUAUAAACUAUUUAGACAAAUAAUAGUAUUCAUUGGUAGGAUUUAAUAACUUUUGUACAAUACAGAAAUUGGGAAUCAUAGCUACCUUUUUGUUUAUUUUUGGACCUACAACAAAAUUUAAAAAAAAGCUUGAGAAAUAAAUACACAACACAUACCAAUGCCCCAUUCCAAGCUAUAUUGGAGUCUGAUGCAAAAGUGAAAAUAAAGACAGAUACAGUCUGUCUUUAUUUAAAAUUUUGAGAUUUUUUUCAUUGUGGUUUUUUGUUUGGUUUGUUUGUUUUUGAGACAGAGUCUGACUCUGUCACCCAGGCUAGAGUACAGUGGCACAAUCUCGGCCCACUGCAACCUCCGCCUCUCGGGUUCAAGCGAUUCUUCUGCCUCAGCCUCCUGAGUAGCUGGGACUACAGGCAUGCGCCACCAUGCCUGGCUAAUUUUUUUGUGUGUUUUUAGUAGAGACAGGGUUUCACCAUGUUGGCCAGGCUGGUCUUGAACUCCUGACCUCGUGAUCUGCCCGCCUCGGCCUCUCAAAGUGCUGGGAUUACAGGUGUGAGCCACCGCGCCUGGCCCAUCAUGGAUUUUUUUUUUUAUUAACCAGAGUCUAUGCUGUAUUCAUAUUUCCUUAGUUUUUACAUAAUGUUCUUUCCUGUUCCGGACUACAUUACCUUUAGUUGUUAUGCCACAUAGUGUUUUUUGCAUUAAUAUUGAGACAGAGUCUUGCUCUGUCGCCCAGGCUGGAGUGCAGUGGUGCGAUUUUGGCUCACUGCAAGCUCUGCCUCCCCUGGCUUCAAGCCAUUCUCUUGCCUCAGCCUCCUGAGUAGCUGGGACUACAGGCGCCCACCACCACGCCCGGCUAAUUUUUUGUAUCUUUAGUAGAGACGGGGUUUCACCAUGUUAGCCAGGAUGGUCUCGAUCUCCUGACCUCGUGGUCCACUUGCCUCGGCCUCCCAAAGUGCUGGGAUUACAGGCAUGAGCCACAAUAUUGAUUUUUAAAGUAUUAUAUUAAAAUAUUGUUUAUCUCGAUUACUGAGAUUUGCACCUGAAAUGACUGAGUCACUUGGCUUCCUCUAGUCCUGACGUGGGUGCACACGUGCACGCAGAGACAGAGUAUUUUAUUUUUGAGAGAUAUUUCUUUAAGUUCUCUUAUCCAAAAAAAGAAAAGCCCUUAAGUCCCAAUGGGCAAAUUGCUAAAAUGUGGGGGAAGAAAAGUAAUUCUGGUAUACAAUGCAAAGUAGGAGCGUAUUUCAUAAAUAACUCAGGUAUGUUAACUAGUAUUUAUGGGUGAAGCCACAAAUUUCUGAUUGUAAAUAUCCAGAGUUCCAUAGUGUACAUAUUAUCUGAGCUCUCAGAUCAGGCUUCAUACCAGUGCAAUAAAAUGAACACAUAAACCUGACAAGCCAGAAGCCAGGGAUGGGUCUGCCCUUAAUCAUACCACAUCUAGUAGCAUUCUACUUUUACUUUUAAGAUUAUUAUUGAGUUCUUACAACAAAUAAAUAUAAAGUUUGUAUUUAAUCUUUCCCAGAAUAUCUCAUCAUUUUGCACCUGAAAUGCAGGAUAAUUAUUUCCAACUGAUGUUAUUUACUGACAUAAUUUCUGGACCAGACGAUAACAUUUAACACUCAGUGUAAUGUUUUGAUGUUCUCUCAUGCCCUGAUACAUUUGGACUUAUUACCAAAUCAUUACUACAAGUCUGGAAGUUUCAAUAAUUUACAGAAGUCAUUACGUCUGGAAGUGUAGUAACUCUGCCAAAGAGAUGACCUAAACGUCCCAAAUACAUCCCAUAUUCCUCAGUCCUCCCAUCUGAGUUUCUCUUACACCCAUUUUUCUUAUAUAUAAAAACAGAGCAAUAUUUUUGAGCAAAAUUUUAAAAGAAAGGCUCUAUUUCAUCACAUGGCCUCAUUUCUUUUUUUCUGUUUGCAUAUCAUGUACAUGGAUACAAUUUAAUCACGUAACCAUGUCCAUUAAAUUAUUAGCUGAUUGCCUUUGAUGUCAAGAUUGCACUUUGGCCUUCUCUUUGUAUGCACGGUGGUUUGAUACCAUCUCACUGCUGGCACUAAGUUUUCACAGAAUAAUAACAUUUACAGUUUAUAAUCUAUAGAUCUCUGGAGAGAUUUGCUUAAUAGAACAAUACAUGUCAAGAUUCUUUGCCCAAGCUUGUCUGCUCUGUGCAAAAUGUACAAUGUAUAUUUUGCCUGCAUAUUUUAUGCUACUAAAUGGCUCUGUAAAGAAAGGUGUAUUUAAGAACACAUUUUAAAAAAUUGUACUGAGUUUUACAAAAAAAGCUAUGACUCCCUACCUUGGAAAUCUUGUUUUAUUUUCUUGUCUUUUUUUUGUGUUUUCAAAGUAUGAACUCUCCUUUGUUAGCUCUGUAUGAGGAAUGAACCAUUUUCUCAAAGUUCGAUGAAUGAAGACUCUCAUCUUACAGGGAGGCUAAAUUCUUGUGUGAGAAAGAAUUCUUCAUCAUAAAUACCUGUGAAGUGAUAAAUGCAUAUUUGGGAAUAAAACAUCUUAUAGGGCUUCUAUUUAAAAAUGACAGUGUGCUCAUACUUGUAUUUUCUCCCUCUUCAAACCCACCUAACAUGCAUUAAGAAAAGCCAAAAUAUGUUAAUCCACAAGGACAAAGAGAGCCAGAGAAAAGGCAACAGUGGAAAAAUCUUUUAACAAACAUUACUGAAGCAAGGAAGCAGAUGGUAAUUAAUUUAUCAGAGCAGAAGAAACUUCCACCUAGCCUGCAGAGGACAUUAUCACCAAGAAAUGAGUCAGCAUGCUCCUUGGAACUUUACCUAGGGACAUCGGAACUGCUAAAGGCUGUGGUGAGGCACGGGCUGAAGAGAGAGGCUUUGCCAGAAAGGCCGUACAACAGAUGUACAUCAGAUCUUCUCCCCAACUCAUCCUCCCUGGAGGAUACUGGAACUCUUAUCUCUAGAGAAAUGUAGAGACACCAGUUGAAGGCUGAAGUGAGAUCCAGGGAUAAAUAGUGAAAAACCUCAGUUGUAAAUGUUAAGAAUAAAAAAUCAAGAAUCACACAGCAUUUUAAGAAAGCCUCAAAUUGACACCUAGAGGAAACAGGAUUUUUCAGGGAGCAGAAGAAAACGUAAGAAAAAAAUAUCUAAUAUAUACAAAUAUUUGAGGAAUAUGCCCAUGAAAACAGGAAUCUCUAAAAAAGAAACAGAGACCAAGGCAGUGCUUGAAAAUUAAAAAUACGGUAAGCAAUGGAAGAAAAAAAAAACACAAAAAAAGAAUUGGGACAUAAAUAAUGGAUGAAA